CCUACGGGUGGCAGCAGUCGAGAAUCAUUCACAAUGGGGGAAACCCUGAUGGUGCGACGCCGCGUGGGGGAAUGAAGGUCUUCGGAUUGUAAACCCCUGUCAUGUGGGAGCAAAUUAAAAAGAUCGUACCACAAGAGGAAGAGACGGCUAACUCUGUGCCAGCAGCCGCGGUAAUACAGAGGUCUCAAGCGUUGUUCGGAAUCACUGGGCGUAAAGCGUGCGUAGGCUGUUUCGUAAGUCGUGUGUGAAAGGCGCGGGCUCAACCCGCGGACGGCACAUGAUACUGCGAGACUAGAGUAAGGGAGGGGGAACCGGAAUUCUCGGUGUAGCAGGGAAAUGCGUAGAGUUCGAGAGGAACACUCGGGGCGAAGGCGGGUUCCUGGACAUUAACCGACGCUGAGGCACGAAGGCCAGGGGAGCGAAAGGGAUUAGAUACCCCAGUAGUC
Molecule: ribosomal RNA, 446 nt
Filed under: uncultured bacterium
Lineage: Bacteria
Description: partial 16S ribosomal RNA
Rfam family: Bacterial small subunit ribosomal RNA
Source: RNAcentral